Molecule: long non-coding RNA, 261 nt
Filed under: Zalophus californianus (California sea lion)
Lineage: Eukaryota; Metazoa; Chordata; Mammalia; Carnivora; Otariidae
Description: lncRNA (ENSZCAG00015007619.1)
Source: RNAcentral
GUUUAUCAGAAGCAAGAACUUGAGGAAAAACAUUGCAACUCCAGGGCACUAUUAGCUGCCAAAGUGGAAAGUAGAGAGCAAGUCACCGAGUAAUUUAUCAUCAGCUCUGAGGGAAGAGGAGAGGAACAAGUAUUCUCAUUAUGACUUGUCCACAAGAAGUGAUCAAUUAUAUGGGCUAAUUUGUUUUGCAAAUAAGUAUAUUCCAAAGUACUUGAAUAUUACUGAGAAUCAUAGAAUAAAGCCUAUGGAACAGAAAAGGGU